GUGGAAAAGUAUUUCAACUGUACAAAAUAUAAAGAAAAGGUAAAAUACUUAAAGAUAAAAAGUCUUUAUUAAUCUCAAUUCAUCAUAUAUUGCAGAAAAAUUGCACAUAUAUAAACAUAUGUUUGUAUUAAAAUAUUACACAAACUAGAAAUUCUGUAUAUACACUAAAACUAUUUAUAAAAGAGAAGUCCAUGUUAUCUUAAAACUACAAUUUGUGAUUGCAUCAAAAUUUCUUAUUCUUAUCAGCUGCUGGUCAACCAUCUCUUGAUCAACAAUAUAACCUCUCCCCCCUCCCAAGAAAAACAUGCCAAUUAAAAAGUAUUCUUUGAAUAUGUCAAAAGGCGAUAUAUUAUUGAUGCUGCCAAAUAUCCCUAUGAUUUCCUGUAGGGAUUUAAUUAGUUUUGAUUACUCUUCUAGUCUUGGACUGAAGAAGGGCCAGGUAAUAUUAAACACAAUGAAUAAUUCAACACAUCAAUUCAAUUCUGGGAAUGCACAUUUGGGCUAUUUGGUAUAAUAUUUGGAAUCAAAUUUAAAUAAAAAUCUACAUUUGGGCUAAUACUCCCAUUUACAGAUAAAUAACAGGUAGCAUAUCUACAUUUCAAUUACAUACUUAUAUUUGAUACAUACAUGUAUUAUGAAAUUCUAUUUAUAACAUAUUCUUGUUUUAUGUACUCAUUCCCUUUACCAGAUAAAUGUCUUCUCCCUUGCUAACCACAGAAAGGUGGAAGACAUGUUUUAAGCAAGAUCAAUCUAAUAAUAACCCUAAAUAACUUAUUAAAACAACUGACAAAGUUCAGGGUUGAGUUUAAUAUCGUAGCGGCUACGUAGCUGCUAUCAAUAUCUAUGUAGCAACUAGUCUGUAGCUACAUGUUCAAUAGUCAAAAUCUACGUAGCACUACGUAGCCGCUACGAUAUUGAACUCAACCCAGGUAUAAAACAGCUGCAUGAAUGUUAAGGUUAAAAUGUACACCUAAUCAAUUGUUCUUAAAGAUUGUAUCUGGCCCUGAAUUUAAAGCGAACAGCCCUAAAAACUGUAGUGCUGUGUUACUGCCUGAUCUCAACUAUAAACUAAUUAACAUUUAAUGGUGUAAAACUUCAAGUUCCUUUUUUUCAAACUAGCAUAGUUUUCAAAAGACAAGAUUUAUGUUGGAUGUGUUUUUAAAAUUAUUUCUAAAAUGAUAUUUUGUAUAUUUUACAUCAAAUAUUGAUUUUUAAGUAUAUCAUAUGUUAUAUAACAGUACAGGAAGAAACAUUUAUUUAGUCUAAAUGUAAACUUGUAUCUCCAUAAGUUUUAGCCCACCUGAUAGCAUUGUCACGUAAUUGAUUUAGCCCAAAUGUCGAUUUAGCCCAAAUGUCUUUUACCAAUAUUUUUAAUAUAAGACCUUUAGGAUUAUUUUUUUCAGAAAAUUCAUAAAAUAUGUCAUGGUAUAUUUGUAACUAAAAAGUACAGAAUAAUGAAGUUAUGAUAUUUAUAAAUGAUUUUACAUGAAAAUAUAAUAAGUUAAUAUUUAGAACUGAAAAAAAUACAUAAAAU
Molecule: long non-coding RNA, 1534 nt
Filed under: Mytilus galloprovincialis (Mediterranean mussel)
Lineage: Eukaryota; Metazoa; Mollusca; Bivalvia; Mytilida; Mytilidae
Source: RNAcentral